GAUGAACGCUGGCGGCGUGCCUAAUACAUGCAAGUCGAGCGAACAGACGAGGAGCUUGCUCCUCUGACGUUAGCGGCGGACGGGUGAGUAACACGUGGAUAACCUACCUAUAAGACUGGGAUAACUUCGGGAAACCGGAGCUAAUACCGGAUAAUAUAUUGAACCGCAUGGUUCAAUAGUGAAAGACGGUUUUGCUGUCACUUAUAGAUGGAUCUGCGCCGCAUUAGCUAGUUGGUAAGGUAACGGCUUACCAAGGCAACGAUGCGUAGCCGACCUGAGAGGGUGAUCGGCCACACUGGAACUGAGACACGGUCCAGACUCCUACGGGAGGCAGCAGUAGGGAAUCUUCCGCAAUGGGCGAAAGCCUGACGGAGCAACGCCGCGUGAGUGAUGAAGGUCUUCGGAUCGUAAAACUCUAUUAUUAGGGAAGAACAAAUGUGUAAGUAACUAUGCACGUCUUGACGGUACCUAAUCAGAAAGCCACGGCUAACUACGUG
RNAcentral lists this ribosomal RNA (497 nucleotides) under uncultured bacterium. Its description in RNAcentral is "partial 16S ribosomal RNA". It matches the Rfam family "Bacterial small subunit ribosomal RNA", at positions 28 to 507 of the family's 1533-position model. The record is from RNAcentral.